GCUACCCUGGGGAUAACAGGCUUAUCUCCCCCAAGAGUUCACAUCGACGGGGAGGUUUGGCACCUCGAUGUCGGCUCAUCGCAUCCUGGAGCGGAAGUACGUUCCAAGGGUUGGGCUGUUCGCCCAUUAAAGCGGUACGCGAGCUGGGUUCAGAACGUCGUGAGACAGUUCGGUCCCUAUCUGUCGCAGGCGCAGGAUAUUUGAAAGGAGCUGUCCUUAGUACGAGAGGACCAGGAUGGACAUACCAAUGGUGCAACAGUUGUUCUACCAAGAGCAUAGCUGUGUAGCCAAGUUCGGAAUGGAUAAACGCUGAGAGCAUCUAAGUGUGAAGCCAACUCCAAGAUAAGAUAUCCCAUACCGUUAAGGUAGUAAGAUUCCAUGAAGACUACGUGGUUGAUAGGUUGGGGGUGUAAGUGAAGCGAUUCACUGAGCUGACCAAUACUAAUAAAUCGAGGGCUUAACCAUAA
RNAcentral lists this ribosomal RNA (467 nucleotides) under Bacteroidota bacterium. Its description in RNAcentral is "Bacteroidetes bacterium (human oral metagenome) partial 23S ribosomal RNA". It matches the Rfam family "Bacterial large subunit ribosomal RNA", at positions 2462 to 2925 of the family's 2925-position model. Lineage: Bacteria; Pseudomonadati; Bacteroidota. The record is from RNAcentral.